UGCGCAGGCGGAAUAAUAAGUCAGUGGUGAAAUCUCCCGGCUCAACCGGGAAACUGCCAUUGAUACUGUUAUUCUUGAGUACAGUUGAAGUGGGCGGAAUGUGUCAUGUAGCGGUGAAAUGCUUAGAUAUGACACAGAACACCGAUAGCGAAGGCAGCUCACUAAGCUGUAACUGACGCUCAUGCACGAAAGCGUGGGGAUCAAACAGGAUUAGAUACCCUGGUAGUCC
Molecule: ribosomal RNA, 229 nt
Filed under: uncultured bacterium
Lineage: Bacteria
Description: partial 16S ribosomal RNA
Rfam family: Bacterial small subunit ribosomal RNA
Source: RNAcentral